CGUUCCGAAGGUGGUCACGGCGUGAGAUUGUUUGUAUUAUUUCCCCAACCGCUCAAAACCAAACUCUCAACACAUUCUCAGUUCCAUUUCAUUUCUCCGAUUCAUCUUCUUCUCCCGGCGAUUCCUGGUGACGACGAUCCAUUUCAGCUCACCUCUUGCCAUGGAGUCUUCUGCUGCUCUGCGAUCCUUCCACUAUUCUUUUGGUGUUCUAUCACAUGUGAGGUCUUCGCCAGAGAAGACUGGACUGGUCAGUAUGCAUCACUACAAGAAGGCCAUUUCAAGCAACAUGAGAGUUCAAGGGUUACCAUAUGGUAGGAGCCUUCUCUCUCCUUCCAAAAAGACAAGAGUGGCAGAAAUUUCAUGUGUAAAAACAUCAGACUCUGCCAUAUCAACCAAGACCAAGGUUUCCUCAGAGUGCAUUGGAAGUGUUCCAAUGUCAGUGGAGAAGAGGCCUCUUGAAGGUGCAACUUUUCCCAGUGGAUUUCAGGCAUUGUUACUGGAAGUUUGUGAUGAGACACAGAUUGCUGAACUGAAGCUAAAGGUUGGAAACUUUGAGAUGCAUGUGAAGCGUAAUGUAGGGGCGACAGAAGUCCCUGUACCAGUCAUAGCAUCACCUGUAACGCCACCACCUAUUCCAACCGAGCCUGUUAAUAAGUCCAGCUCUGGUGUUUCACCGCCAUCAGCACCAAAACCCUCUUCAGAGAAGGCUGCUCCAUUUAUGAAUGUCACCUUUGGGAAAUCAUCAAAACUCGAAGCAUUGGAAGCUUCAGGAUGUAGUGGAUAUGUUCUAGUAGCCUCUCCAACGGUUGGCUCCUUCCAAAAAGGAAAAACGGUCAAGGGAAAGAAGCAAGCUCCCAGCUGUAAAGAGGUAUCUCUCGCCUGCCUAUGGAUUUUGUAUCGGAAAUUCCUUCUUGUAAAAAUUUCACGGUGAUUAGCAUUACCGAAUUUUCAUUUUCUUGGAUCAUAGACAGCUAUCUAUGUCUUUCCUAUAGAGGUCCUCUUUUCAGUGUCUUGUAGAACUCCCCUCUCGCACACAAGCAUGAGCGUGAGCACGCACACUAGAUACUAAUGACUUGGCACAAUUCAAGAGGUUGUUGCUUUUUAAGAAACUGGAAUACGUUGGGACACUUUAGGGAUUGUCAGAAUGCCUCAGAAAAGGUAGUUCAUCUACGUAACAAAGUUAACUUUGUGGCCCAGCUUUUUAAGAGACUGGGAUCUGUUUGGGAAACCGUAGGGAUAUUUUGAAUGCCUAAAAAAAAGUCGUUCACCUACUUAACAAAGUCAACUCUGUGGUUCUGCAAUGUGGUAAAAUUCUUUGCAUGGAUGCAAUGAUAAAACUGUCUUUUAGAGAGAAUAUUAAUUGAAUGUGAUAUGUGUAUUAAGAUGAAUCUGGACUUUGAAAAUGGUGGCUCUCAUGCAGGUUACACUAUAUCGGAUGAUCCACAUUCAUUGUAGCACGUAACACAUUCACCUAAUGAUUACUAAUAUUUUACAGGCUCAUCUAAGAAAAUGACGUAUUAGUAAAUCAAUUGAGUUUUUUAGUGUCUGCUUCUUUCUUUUGACUUCUUUUCAUCCUGGCUGACAUAUUGCAUCCACACAUAGAUUGUCGAUUCUUUAGAAAUUUUCUCAUUGUGAAGAUGUUCUACACGACACCAAACUGUUGAUUCUAUUGAAGUUUAUCUCCUUGUGAUCAUGUCUACACAAUAUGGUAUGAUAUCUAGAUGCAAGUACUUGCAUGCUAGCACUCACUCAUACACAUGUGAAGUACGUAUGGAUGCAUGCAUACACGUGUCUACAGAUUAGCUGAAUUGGGUAGGUAUGUAAGAGCAAUAUCUGA
Molecule: RNA transcript, 1837 nt
Organism: Rhodamnia argentea
Lineage: Eukaryota; Viridiplantae; Streptophyta; Magnoliopsida; Myrtales; Myrtaceae
Gene name: biotin carboxyl carrier protein of acetyl-CoA carboxylase-like
Exons: 8
Source: RefSeq, a predicted model, not a curated record